GGCAGGGACACGGACAGGGCAGGGAUGCGGGGCAAGACAGGGAGGGGGCAGGGAUACGAGGCAGGACAAGGAGGGGGCAGGGACUCAGGGCAGGACAGGGCAGGGGCAGAGGCAGGACAGGGACGGUGCAGCCUCCGCUGCUGCCCUCUCGGGGAGCCUGGCUCCCACCCUCACCCAGCCACUGCUCCUGGGCACAGAGCUGAAGGGGAACUGGAGGCUGCGGCGUUCCUCUCUCCGUCCCCCUCUCUCUGGUGACUCAUGUGAUAACGAACCGACCUUUUGGAGACAUUCUGUGCCCUCAACAAAAGCGGCCCCUGUCUGGAAACCCCCCCGAGGAGACUGACUUCCUCCCCUGCUGCCUGGGCUGCGGUAGCUCUUCCGGCACCUGCUCUUCAGGCACCUGCCCUGUGCUGGCCCCUCCUGCAACAAUCGGGAGCCCUCACCUCAGUCGGCGCUGCAGAACCAGCCCAGGAGAGCAGCUGGCCUGUCAUCUGCUGAGGAGCGGAGGCGUGCGGGGAUCCGGAGGGGAAGGGGGUCUGGAGUGCUCCGGGGGAGACCCUCAGGGACUGCCCUGCUGCUGGCAGCGCCUGGGCCCACGGCUGAUGGAGGCGUCUCCUGGCCCCCAGGGCUGUGCCCAGGACUGCAAUGGCCUCCCACACUACCUCACUACCCUGGUCCAGGCUCACUGACAGAUGAGGAAACUGAGGCAGGGGCCCUGGUCUCACGGCCAUUGGUGCAGAGCUGGGAUCCACGACCAGAUUCUACCAAUUAAAAAAAGGAAAUGUGGGCCGGGCG
This 795-nucleotide long non-coding RNA is filed under the name Homo sapiens (human). RNAcentral's name for it is "HSALNT0402522". The record is from RNAcentral. Lineage: Eukaryota; Metazoa; Chordata; Mammalia; Primates; Hominidae.